GACGUAGGUGGCGAACGUUAUCCGGAAUUAUUGGGCGUAAAGGGCGCGUAGGUGGCCUGACACGUUAUCAGUGGCAAAUCGAGGCUCAACCUCGUGGAAACUGGUAAUACUGUCCGGCUUGAGUGCAGGAGAGGUUAACGGAACUCUAUGUGGAGGGGUAAAAUCCAUAGAUAUAUAGAUGAACAUCAAGAAAGGCGAAGGCAGUUAACUAUUCUGUUACUGACACUGAGGCACGAAAGCGUGGGGAGCAAACAGG
Molecule: ribosomal RNA, 256 nt
Filed under: uncultured bacterium
Lineage: Bacteria
Description: partial 16S ribosomal RNA
Rfam family: Bacterial small subunit ribosomal RNA
Source: RNAcentral